GCCCAGCAUGGUUGUAUAUACCUGUAGUCCCAGCUGCUAAGGAGGCUAAGGUGGGGGCAUCGCUUGACCCUAACCAGGUAUUCUGGACUGUAGUGUGCCGUGUGGAUCAGGUGUCUGCACUAAGUGCAGCAUCAAUGUGAUGACCUCUCUGGAGUGGGGAAACUCCAGGUUGCCUAAGGAAGGGUGAACUGGCCCAGGUCAGAAAUGGAGCAUGUAGAAACUCUGGUGCUGAUCAGUAGUGAGAUCACACCUGUGAAUAGCCACUGUACUCGAGCUUGGACAACAUAGUGGGACCCUGUCUCUA
Molecule: unclassified non-coding RNA, 304 nt
Organism: Callithrix jacchus (white-tufted-ear marmoset)
Lineage: Eukaryota; Metazoa; Chordata; Mammalia; Primates; Cebidae
Rfam family: Metazoan signal recognition particle RNA
About the family: The signal recognition particle (SRP) is a universally conserved ribonucleoprotein. It is involved in the co-translational targeting of proteins to membranes.
Source: Ensembl